CGGAGCUAUUUCACAAUAUUAAACUAACUAAAUAUAUACAGAGAGAAAACAAAAUGAGUGAUCUUCCAAUAGGCCGUAUAUAUAAAAAUUAUUAUUACUUUCGUUGCAAUUAAAGCUUAUUUUUGAAACAUUGGAUGGUUUGAGAUCUUUUAAGAUCACAAGGUAAACUAUUCCAAGCCACCGCACCCCUGUAACUAAAUUAUUUUUUCUUGAAAUUAGUGCUUGGUUUAGGUGGAAAAUAAUUUUGCACCUGUCUCGUUUCGUAAUUGUGUACGUCAUCGGUUCUUUGAAAUAAAUUUGAUAUGGAGCGAGGAACCAUUGAAUUUCUAACUUUGAACAUUAGUGUAGCAACUUGUUGGUUCCUACGAGUCUCCAGAUUGUCAAGGUUUAGGUGUUGUAGAAGAACACAGGAGCGGACAUCAUAUCCACACUU
Molecule: long non-coding RNA, 433 nt
Filed under: Paramuricea clavata
Lineage: Eukaryota; Metazoa; Cnidaria; Anthozoa; Malacalcyonacea; Plexauridae
Source: RNAcentral